AUGAAUGCUGGGCGGCGUGCCUAACACAUGCAAGUCGAGCGGCAGCGAGUUUUACACUGAAUUCUGGAAGCUUCUGGGUAAUGUAGAAGAUUUAUUCAAGAAUUUUGUGUAAAAUGUCGGCGAGCGGCGGACGGCUGAGUAACGCGUAGGAAUUUGCCCCAAAGUGAGGAAUAACUGCCCGAAAGGGUAGCUAAUGCCGCAUAUGGUCUUCGGAUUAAAGCCUUCGGGCGCUUUGGGAGAAGCCUGCGUUGGAUUAGGUAGUUGGUAGGGUAAUGGCCUACCAAGCCGACGAUCCAUAGCUGGUCUGAGAGGAUGAUCAGCCAGACUGGAACUGAGACACGGUCCAGACUCCUACGGGAGGCAGCAGUGAGGAAUCUUCCACAAUGGGCGAAAGCCUGAUGGAGCAACGCCGCGUGAAGGAUGAAGGCCUUCGGGUUGUAAACUUCUUUUAUGAGUGAAGAAUAUGACGGUAACUCAUGAAUAAGCACCGGCUAACUACGUGCCAGCAGCCGCGGUCAUACGUAGGGUGCAAGCAUUAUCCGGAGUGACUGGGCGUAAAGAGUUGCGUAGGCGGUUUAAUAAGUGAAUAGUGAAACCUGGUGGCUCAACCAUACAGACUAUUAUUCAAACUGUUAAACUCGAGAAUGGUAGAGGUAACUGGAAUUUCUAGUGUAGGAGUGAAAUCCGUAGAUAUUAGAAAGGAACACCGAUGGCGUAGGCAGGUUACUGGGCCAUUUCUGACGCUAAGGCACGAAAGCGUGGGGAGCGAACCGGAUUAGAUACCCGGGUAGUCCACGCCGUAAACGAUGGAUACUAGCUGUUGGAGGUAUCGACCCCUUCAGUAGCGAAGCUAACGCGUUAAGUAUCCCGCCUGUGGAGUACGGCCGCAAGGCUAAAACAUAAAGGAAUUGACGGGGACCCGCACAAGCGGUGGAUUAUGUUCUUUAAUUCGAUGAUAACCGAAGAACCUUACCAGGACUUGACAUCCAGGGAAGGUCUGCGAAAGUAGACUGUGCCUUUUGGAACCCUGUGACAGGUGAUGCAUGGCCGUCGUCAGCUCGUGUCGUGAGAUGUUAGGUUAAGUCCUUCAACGAGCGCAACCCUUGUGAAUAGUUGUAUUUUUCUAUUCAGACUGCCCCGGUAACGGGGAGGAAGGAGGGGAUGAUGUCAGGUCAGUAUUUCCCUUACGUCCUGGGCUAGAAACGUAAUACAAUGGCUAGUACAAUGCGCAGCGAAGCCGCGAGGUGAAGCAAAUCGCAUCAAAGCUAGUCCCAGUUCGGAUUGUAGGCUGAAACUCGCCUGCAUGAAGUCGGAAUCGCUAGUAAUCGCAAAUCAGCAAGUUGCGGUGAAUACGUUCCCGGGUCUUGUACACACCG
RNAcentral lists this ribosomal RNA (1376 nucleotides) under uncultured bacterium. Its description in RNAcentral is "bacterial SSU rRNA". It matches the Rfam family "Bacterial small subunit ribosomal RNA", at positions 29 to 1392 of the family's 1533-position model. The record is from RNAcentral.